Molecule: ribosomal RNA, 429 nt
Filed under: Acidobacteriota bacterium
Lineage: Bacteria; Pseudomonadati; Acidobacteriota
Description: Acidobacteria bacterium partial 16S ribosomal RNA
Rfam family: Bacterial small subunit ribosomal RNA
Source: RNAcentral
UGGGGAAUUUUGGACAAUGGGGGAAACCCUGAUCCAGCCAUCCCGCGUGUGCGAUGGAGGCCUUCGGGUUGUAAAGCACUUUUGGCAGGAAAGAAACGUCAUGGGUUAAUACCCCGUGAAACUGACGGUACCUGCAGAAUAAGCACCGGCUAACUACGUGCCAGCAGCCGCGGUAAUACGUAGGGUGCAAGCGUUAAUCGGAAUUACUGGGCGUAAAGCGUGCGCAGGCGGUUCGGAAGGAAAGAUGUGAAAUCCCAGAGCUCAACUGUGGAACUGCAUUUUUAACUACCGGGCUAGAGUGUGUCAGAGGGAGGUGGAAUUCCGCGUGUAGCAGUGAAAUGCGUAGAUAUGCGGAGGAAAACCGAUGGCGAAGGCAGCCUCCUGGGAUAACACUGACGCUCAUGCACGAAAGCGUGGGGAGCAAACAGG